This 395-nucleotide ribosomal RNA is filed under the name uncultured bacterium. RNAcentral's name for it is "bacterial SSU rRNA". It matches the Rfam family "Bacterial small subunit ribosomal RNA", at positions 505 to 898 of the family's 1533-position model. The record is from RNAcentral.
GUGUCAGCAGCCGCGGUAAUACGUAGGAUGCAAGCGUUGUCCGGAAUUACUGGGCGUAAAGCGCGCGCAGGCGGCGCCUUAAGUUGGACGUGAAAGCUCCCGGCUCAACUGGGAAGGGUCGUUCAAAACUGAGGUGCUUGAGGGCAGGAGAGGAAAGUGGAAUUCCCGGUGUAGUGGUGAAAUGCGUAGAUAUCGGGAGGAACACCAGUGGCGAAGGCGGCUUUCUGGCCUGCAUCUGACGCUGAGGCGCGAAGGCUGGGGGAGCGAACGGGAUUAGAUACCCCGGUAGUCCCAGCAGUAAACGAUGGAUACUAGGUGUUCGUGGCAUUGACCCCACGAGUGCCGAAGCCAACGCGUUAAGUAUCCCGCCUGGGGAGUACGGUCGCAAGACUAAA